CAGUGAGCUUCCGGCAAUUCAUCAAGAACAACAAUUCAGGUUUUCCUACCCCAUACUGGUUUCCACAGAGGUUUCAGCUCAUGUGCACCUACUCUGGUAACCUGCGCGUCUCUGUGUUCACCUGUUGGUCUCUCCAAUUUGGCAAGGCAGCAGUUUGCCCCGUGACUUCACUUCUACAAAGCUAAGAAAAGUUGCUGAUAUUUCUGUUUGUUUAGCUUUUCACUUGUCAUUAGAAUGGAGUGGUGACUUCGAAGCUCCUUACAUGAGGAAUUUAUGUAAAGCACGCAGCAGCAAAUGCCUUAUAAACUGCAGGGUGCCGAUGAUAGCUGUAACACAACCGUUUCAUUCAGCAAAAUAGGAAAUAAAGUGAAGUGGGUGACUGGAGCAGAUACAACAUAGAGUAAGGACCAAGCAUUACUCACGCUCUUCAAAUGAUCAAAAUUACACAGGUCUCCUCAUGUCUGGGGGCAAAGUAAUCCGUGAAAGAAAAGUUGCUGAAUGUAAAGUUGGCAGGAGUGGUUCACAGGAGAGAAACAGGAAUUCAUUAUGCUCUCCAUCUUAAAGACACAAACUCACUCGACUGAGGGACACCUGUGUAUUAGGUCCAGUGCACCUGCAAAGAGGGGCCCUGGGAGUCCCUCCAGGACCACACAGCACACUCUCAACUCAGCCAGUGGAACUCAAGGCUGGUUCAGAUCUCUGUACUGGGCAACGGAGCCAGCACCCAGGGUGGAACACAGCUCAUCCUACAGAUGAGAACAUCCACGGGACAUCAGACUUCUUUGCUCUUCAGCCUGAGAGGGAGGACCACUGAAUAACAUCAAAGAGAUGUCUUCUUGGAAGAUGCUCCAUCUCCUUUGGGUGCGGCAGGUGUAAAGGUGAGAAUUUCCCUGACCUACACAAUGCCUCUCGUUUCUCAAACAGAAGUCGCCACCCGAGCCUGAAACUGCCUGUGAGCAGUGCCCUCAUGCACUUACUCCGAAGGGCAGCACCACUACCCCCUGGGCAAGGAAGGGCUCCGCAUGGAGACAAAUGCUGUGUGGCAUCUUCCUUCUCAUAAGGCAGUCUCUAAAUUCCCAGCAGUCCUAAAGCACAGGCCAUAAGGUCUCAAAGGUCCCUGCGGCUCAAGGCGAACACCACGCCCAUGGCAGAUCUUUCCUGCCCCUCAGCCCAAGCUCUAGGCCUGUGCCCAGAAGUCUCAGCCCUUGUAAGCUUUCCCUGGAGCCUAAAACCACAGGAUAUUUCAGGCUCCCUGGAUGGAGAUCAAUAGAGCCUGCCAAAGAGGACGCCAUUGCUCCAAACCACAGCUAUGAAGACAGACCUGGGAUAAAUGAUUUCAUCUUCUGCUGGGGAAAUAAGCUUAAGGGCAGGAACCAAUCACCAGCCAACCUGAGCGCCUUCAGAAGCCAUCUACCACCUUGGGUACCCAAGUGCACUCAACCAAGUGCCAACCCCAAGAGGAGUUCCCCAUCCAAAACCUUCCAUAGUUCAGUACAUUCGAGAUGCACUCCCGGCUCCAGCCUCUUCCUGGAGAUUCAUAGUGCGUACAAGCACAUUGAAGCCUCUGAGAAGUCAUAAAGUAAAUAAAUCAUCUGCUUUGGCAAAUUUCUUUUGAUGUGAGCAUCUCUUUGCCUGUGGAGGAUGAAUAGAGAAUUUAUUAAGAAUGUGAUACAUUUCUGUGGCUAUGGAAGUGUCAAGUAAAAGAGGGCUAUGCCCCCCAUGCUAGACUUUUGUGUUCUUGGGACUUUCCUUGUGCCUAUAGGUCAAGUUAAAAUAUUUUAAUCUUUAAAAAAAUUAAUUGAUCCAAGAAGUGGAAAGGGCGGUGGGGUUUUGAGGAGAGAGGGCUGAAGCAGCUGGCCGUGGGGAAAAGAGAUCUUCCAAACAGAAAGGGUCCCAUGAUUUAGGGUUUCUGUACUGAAGAGGCACAGGUCCUCAGUGAGGGGAUGGCAGACAUACAGGGAUGGGGCCUGUGCUUCUGUUGCUAAACCUCAGGCUAGAGCCAAAUGGCCAAGUCUGGCUGGAAACAGGAAGUUACCCACCACCACCACCACGGGGCCCAUGCCUGCUUGGAAACUGAGCACAGCAGUGGGAUUUAGUGUGUAGCAGCCACAGAGAGGCCUCCCCAAGGAUUCUGAUACUUGUGAGUUUCCUGAAACCUCUGCUUGGUGGAUGAGAAACAGAGAAUGCCUUAAAGUGUAAGACUCCUGAAAACCACGCUUCUCCAGAACCCUUUCUUCCUCUGUGGAGACAGCCUUCUCGGACGAUAGUCCUCAGCUUGGCUCAAAUUCCGAUAAAACAAGUUACUCUGAGCUUGUGGGAUUGGUGGGUUGAAUCUGGAGGACUGACUUCUCAAAAUGCCACGAAAAUGGCAGAAAAGGAAUUUUUAAGGUCAAAUGAAAAGACGAAGAGAAGUAGAAGGAGCAACAGCAGAGAAGAGAGCACUAGUGCCCCCUCUUGGAAGCCGGAAACUUGGAUGGAGGGGAGCAAGCUGGCCCAGCAGAGCCCAGGGACCCUGGACAGAAGUGCAGGCACCCGAGUUGGGGACGGGCAGGCGGAAGUGUAGCAGCAGUUGUCCGCUCUGACCCUGAAACGGAGCAGCUGUGGACCCUGGACCCCAUCCAACUCCAUCCAGAACUGCCGCCCUCCAACUCCUGCAGAGCCUGAGGGAUCAUUCUGGAAAAAAUGGAAGCCAAGAAACUCUGGGCUCAGGGAAAUGGUCACAGCAGUGUAAGGCAGAGGACCAGAAACAGGGGUCAGGGAGAAGUCUCCCCUGAAGGGUGGGGACCUCCUUCCCAGCCCUGAGAGUUACUGUGCCCCACCUACUCCAUCGUGCAUGUGCAGCCAGAGUGUCUUCUAAAGAACACCUGAAUGAUGGAAGAAAUGAUCCAUAUUCAAGGAUAGGAAGUAUCAGGAUUAUAAAAAUAUCAGUUCUAUCCAAAGCAGCCUAUAGAUUCGGUUCCCUUGCUGUCAAAAUCCCAGCUGGCUUUUCGAGGAACUUGACGAGAGGUUACCUUGUAAUUCACUUUCCUAUUUAAG
Molecule: long non-coding RNA, 3036 nt
Organism: Equus caballus (horse)
Lineage: Eukaryota; Metazoa; Chordata; Mammalia; Perissodactyla; Equidae
Source: Ensembl